RNAcentral lists this transfer RNA (95 nucleotides) under Mycolicibacterium fortuitum. RNAcentral's name for it is "tRNA-Arg(ccg)". The record is from RNAcentral. RNAcentral also lists the same sequence under 2 other names. Lineage: Bacteria; Bacillati; Actinomycetota; Actinomycetes; Mycobacteriales; Mycobacteriaceae.
UGCCGGUGGUGCUGGACGCCGGGAUCGGCACGGCUUCCGAUGCCGCGUUGGCGAUGGAAUUGGGUUGUGACGCCGUUCUGUUGGCCACCGCCGUC